CCUACGGGUGGCAGCAGUGGGGGAUAUUGCACAAUGGGGGGAACCCUGAUGCAGCGACGCCGCGUGGGUGAAGGAGUGCUUCGGCAUGUAAAGCCCUAUCGGCAGGGAAGAAGCAAGACGGUACCUGACUAAGAAGCCCCGGCUAACUACGUGCCAGCAGCCGCGGUAAUACGUAGGGGGCGAGCGUUAUCCGGAUUCACUGGGUGUAAAGGGAGCGUAGACGGCCAUGCAAGCCAGGGGUGAAAGCCCGGGGCCCAACCCCGGGACUGCCCUUGGAACUGGCAGUCUCGAGUUGGAGAGAAGUAUGCGGAAUGCGCGGUGUAGCGGUGAAAUGCAUAGAUAUCGCGCAGAACUCCGAUUGCGAAGGCAGCAUGCCGGCUCCACACUGACGCUGAGGCACGAAAGCGUGGGUAUCGAACAGGAUUAGAUACCCCAGUAGUC
This 441-nucleotide ribosomal RNA is filed under the name uncultured bacterium. RNAcentral describes it as "partial 16S ribosomal RNA". It matches the Rfam family "Bacterial small subunit ribosomal RNA", at positions 338 to 795 of the family's 1533-position model. The record is from RNAcentral.